RNAcentral lists this ribosomal RNA (350 nucleotides) under uncultured Succinivibrio sp. RNAcentral's name for it is "bacterial SSU rRNA". It matches the Rfam family "Bacterial small subunit ribosomal RNA", at positions 355 to 702 of the family's 1533-position model. Lineage: Bacteria; Pseudomonadati; Pseudomonadota; Gammaproteobacteria; Aeromonadales; Succinivibrionaceae. The record is from RNAcentral.
UGAGGAAUAUUGGACAAUGGAGGCAACUCUGAUCCAGCCAUGCCGCGUGAAGGACUAAGGCCCUAUGGGCUGUAAACUUCUUUAGACGCAGAGCAAUAAGGGCCACGCGUGGUCCGAUGAGAGUAUGCGUAGAAUAAGCAUCGGCUAACUCCGUGCCAGCAGCCGCGGUAAUACGGAGGGUGCAAGCGUUAAUCGGAAUAACUGGGCGUAAAGGGCAUGCAGGCGGUUCAUCAAGUAGGAUGUGAAAUCCCCGGGCUCAACCUGGGAACAGCAUACUAACUGGUGGACUAGAGUAUUGCGAGGGGGAGACGGAAUUCCAGGUGUAGCGGUGGAAUGCGUAGAUAUCUGGA